GUAGGUGAACCUGCGGAAGGAUCAUUAGUGAUUGGCUCCGGCCUUUUAUGUCAUCCAUAAACCUCUUGUGAACCUGUGGCCCUCGGGCCUUUUCCAAACACCAGUGUAACGAACGUAAUCAAAUGAUAAUCAUUAAAACUUUCAACAACGGAUCUCUUGGCUCUC
RNAcentral lists this unclassified non-coding RNA (165 nucleotides) under rhizosphere metagenome. RNAcentral describes it as "partial ribosomal RNA internal transcribed spacer region". The record is from RNAcentral.